RNAcentral lists this transfer-messenger RNA (294 nucleotides) under Paracoccaceae bacterium. RNAcentral's name for it is "Rhodobacteraceae bacterium (activated sludge metagenome) partial transfer-messenger RNA". It matches the Rfam family "Alphaproteobacteria transfer-messenger RNA", at positions 59 to 355 of the family's 355-position model. Rfam says of the family: Bacterial tmRNA, also known as 10Sa RNA or SsrA, is named for its dual tRNA and mRNA-like properties. Its role is to liberate the mRNA from a stalled ribosome. To accomplish this part of the tmRNA is used as a reading frame that ends in a translation stop signal. The record is from RNAcentral. Lineage: Bacteria; Pseudomonadati; Pseudomonadota; Alphaproteobacteria; Rhodobacterales; Paracoccaceae.
UGAUAAACGCGCAUGUAAUAAACGGAUCGGACCCGGGGGCGGUACCCGGCGACUCCACCAAAACCCGUUCAUUUGACGGUCAUGGGGUCGAAACAGGAUCGACGGACGUCUAAAGAUGUUAGCUUUUGCCCGGUGAGUUACCACCGUUAUCGGUACAAAUCAGCUAGUUGCAAAUGACAACAAAGCUCCGAUGGCUCUGGCUGCGUAAGCGGUUCGAAACAUCGAAAACCUAAGUCCAGGGUCUUUGCAGAUUCUGGCGGGGUUCGCAGGCACCUGGCAACAGAAGCCUGCACC